UGAGGAAUAUUGGACAAUGGGCGCAAGCCUGAUCCAGCAAUGCCGCGUGCAGGAUGAAGGCCUUCGGGUUGUAAACUGCUUUUGUACGGAGCGAAAAGGUCUGCCCUAAUACGGUGGGCUCAUGACGGUACCGUAAGAAUAAGCACCGGCUAACUACGUGCCAGCAGCCGCGGUAAUACGUAGGGUGCGAGCGUUAAUCGGAAUUACUGGGCGUAAAGCGUGCGCAGGCGGUUAUAUAAGACAGAUGUGAAAUCCCCGGGCUCAACCUGGGACCUGCAUUUGUGACUGUAUAGCUGGAGUGCGGUAGAGGGGGAUGGAAUUCCGCGUGUAGCAGUGAAAUGCGUAGAUAUGCGGAGGAACACCGAUGGCGAAGGCAAUCCCCUGGACAUGUACUGACGCGCAUGCACGAAAGCGUGGGGAGCAAA
Molecule: ribosomal RNA, 425 nt
Filed under: uncultured bacterium
Lineage: Bacteria
Description: bacterial SSU rRNA
Rfam family: Bacterial small subunit ribosomal RNA
Source: RNAcentral